This 471-nucleotide ribosomal RNA is filed under the name uncultured bacterium. RNAcentral's name for it is "bacterial SSU rRNA". It matches the Rfam family "Bacterial small subunit ribosomal RNA", at positions 335 to 798 of the family's 1533-position model. The record is from RNAcentral.
ACUCCUACGGGAGGCAGCAGUGGGGAAUAUUGCACAAUGGGCGCAAGCCUGAUGCAGCCAUGCCGCGUGUAUGAAGAAGGCCUUCGGGUUGUAAAGUACUUUCAGCAGUGAGGAAGGUGGGUAUGUUAAUAGCAUAUUCAUUUGACGUUAGCUGCAGAAGAAGCACCGGCUAACUCCGUGCCAGCAGCCGCGGUAAUACGGAGGGUGCGAGCGUUAAUCGGAAUUACUGGGCGUAAAGCGCAUGCAGGUGGUUUGUUAAGUCAGAUGUGAAAGCCCGGGGCUCAACCUCGGAAUUGCAUUUGAAACUGGCAAACUAGAGUACUGUAGAGGGGUGUAGAAUUUCAGGUGUAGCGGUGAAAUGCGUAGAGAUCUGAAGGAAUACCGGUGGCGAAGGCGGCCCCCUGGACAGAUACUGACACUCAGAUGCGAAAGCGUGGGGAGCAAACAGGAUUAGAUACCCUGGUAGCGUAG